This 11973-nucleotide long non-coding RNA is filed under the name Cucumis sativus (cucumber). RNAcentral's name for it is "long non-coding RNA (CSAT_LNC000292)". Lineage: Eukaryota; Viridiplantae; Streptophyta; Magnoliopsida; Cucurbitales; Cucurbitaceae. The record is from RNAcentral.
UUGCUUUAGUUUAGUUCGUUCAGUUCCAUUCUGAUGACGAAACGCUCCUGCCCAACUUAUGAUGGUCAAUCACUCAUCACUUGGAAUAUCGACGGAUAUUCAGAAACACAGAUGAUGAAUACUUUUCAAGAAAUGUUAUUGGCAGCCUCUGCCUUUAGCGCCAGAAAAUCAAUCUACGAAACGGCUUAAAUACUCAUAUUAGGCUUCAAUGGGAACCUAAGAAGCUGGUGGCAUAAUCAGCUUACUGAGCAAGAUCGACAAAGGAUCUUUGACUACAACAAAAACGGUUGUAAAAACUAAAGGCUCUUCAGUUCCAGUACAAACCGAAGAACCAGAUAUGAUGAAUCAAUUACUCUACACAAUGACUAAACAUUUCAUUGGAAGUACCCAGAUUCAUUUCAAUCUAGCAACAGAAGCUCUUCUUGGACUAAAAUGUCAUAAGAUGAGCAGAUACAAAUGGUAUAAAGACACCUUCAUGGCACGUAUGUAUACCAUAACAACAUGCGGUGCUAAUAUCUAGAAACAAAAAUUCGUUGAAGGAUUACCAUAUUAUAUUUCUCAAAAGUUUUAUCAAACUAUGACAGCAAAUUUUGUCAAUCAACAAAUUAAUUGGGCAAAUCUAACUUACGGGGAUAUUUCAUCCACAGUUCAAAUGAUAUGUGUUAAUCUCUGGACAGAGAAUAAACACACAACGAAGGUAAUAAAGAUUCUGACUACCGGAAGGAAUUGGGCACCUUCUACAAACAAUAUGGUCUGUCUAACAGACCAAAGGAGGAGAAGGAAAAGAAGAAAAAGAAGAAUUAUCCUUCUCGAAACAUUAUCUUUAGAAAAAAGAAAUCUAAAGAUCAUGAGCCUCCUCGAAGAAGGAAGCAUAAUUACCAGAAGGGUAAAAGCAAGAAGUAUUACUCUUCAAAAACAAAAACGAUUUGCUAUAAAUGCAAUCAAAGUGGUCAUUAUGCUAAUCGUUGUCCUCUAAGAGACAGAAUCAAUGCCCUCAAAAUAGACGAAGAAACGAAGCAAUCCCUCCUCUAUGCUAUAAGGUCGGAUGAUGACGACUCCUCUCAAACAGAAUCUUCAUUAGAGGAAGAUUUCAUCAACGUUUUACAAGAAGAAGGAUCGUCCUCUAAAGAAGAAUUCUUCUCUCAAAGUGAUUCAAGUGAUGACGAAGGGGCUAUUCCCUGCACCGGACAGUGUGCUGGCCACAUCAAUGUCAUCACUAAAGAUCAAGAAACUCUUUUUGAUCUCAUCGAACAAAUACCAGAUGAAACGGCAAAAAGAACCUGUCUACUCAAAUUGAGGCAAAGUAUAGAAGAGCAAACGCCUCGACAGACGGUUCAUAGUCCGAUAAUGUACUCAUAUCAGAACAUAUUGAACCGAAUAAAGGGCGAAACAAAAAUGCCCAUUCAAGUUAAUGAUCUUCACCAUGAAGUAAAGAUUCUCAAAAAAGAAGUUGCUAAUAACAAGCAACGACUCACCUAUCUUGAAAAUGCUUUCCAAGCAUUCCAAGAAUCUCCAAUCAGGGAAGAAUAUCUGGAAACUUCAAUAAACAAUUUUGAAUGAAAAACCGAGGAAAUGACACUAUUGAUAGAAGAACCAAACUUUAUCAAUAGUAUAAGCAAAGUUCACAAUCAGAAGUGGAUAUCAAAGAUAGUCUUUAAAGUUAAAGACUUUCAACUAGAAACAUUAACCCUCUUUGACUCCGGGGCUGAUCAGAAUGUUAUUCAAGAAGGCCUCGUCCCUUCGAAAUAUUUCGAAAAGACGAAAGAAUCCUUAACUGGAGCAGGAGGAAAUCCUCUCAAUAUUGAGUUCAAAUUAUCCAAAGUGCACAUUUGUAAAGACAAUGUGUGCCUGGUUAAUACUUUCAUUCCGGUCAAAAACCUUAAUGAAGGUAUCAUUCUAGGAACAUCGUUCCUAACUCAAAUAUAUCCUUUUUAUGUCACUAAAGAGGGUAUAAUGUCGAAGAAAUUCGACAAAGAAAUUACUUUUGAGUUUACUCAACCAGUAACUCCCAGGUACAUCUCGAAUAUUGAGGAAGAAAUUCGUCAAUUCAUCAACAGAAUCGCCAAAAAGGAGAAACAAAUAGAGUUUCUUCAAGACGAUAUCAAGGGUUGUAAAGUGGCUUCAGCAAUAAGUAAGCCAUUAAUCCAACAGAAAAUUCAGAACUUCCAGCAACGCCUUGAAAAGGAAGUCUGUUCAAAUCUCCCAAAUGCCUUUUGGGAUAGAAAAAAACAUAUGGUAACUCUACCAUAUAAAGAAGGGUUCAAGGAAUCACAAAUUCCCACAAAAGCCCGACCUAUUCAAAUGAACAGAGAUUUAGUCAAAGUCUGUACAAACGAGAUAUAGGAUCUACUCAAGAAGGGCCUUAUAAGCCCAUCAAAAAGCCCAUGGUCGUGUUCGACCUUUUAUGUCAAUAGCCAGGUCGAAAAAGAGCGUGGUGUACCAAGGCUUGUCAUUAAUUACAAGCCUCUCAACAAAGUUCUCAAAUGGAUUUGGUAUCCAAUUCGUAAUUGGCAAGAUUUGCUAAAAAGAAUUACUCUAGCAAAAUUCUUCUCAAAAUUUGAUAUGAAAUUUGGAUUUUGGCAAAUCCAGAUACACUCAACUGAAUGUUACAAGACGGCUUUCAAUGUUCCAUUCGGAAAAUUCCAAUGGAAUGUCAUGCCAUUCGGAUUGAAUAAUGCUCCGUCCGAAUUUCAGAAGAUAAUGAACGAUAUCUUCAACCCGUAUCAAGAUUUCACAAUAGUAUACAUUGAUGAUAUCUUGGUAUUCUCAAACACUGUUGAUCAACAUUUUAAACAUCUUCGGGUGUUUCUAAAUGUGAUUAAAACAAAUGGUCUUGUGGUUUCUCAACCAAAGAUCAAAUUAUUUCAAGUAAAGAUUAGAUUUCUUGGUUAUGAAAUUAAUCAAGGAAUCAUCAAACCAAUUCAAAGGUCUCUAGAUUUUGCAGAUAAAUUUCCAGACAUAAUACAAGACAAGACUCAGCUACAGAGGUUUCUUGGCUGUAUUAAUUACAUCGGAGAUUUUAUUCGCGAUCUUCGCUCAAUUUGUCUACCUUUAUAUGACAGACUGAAAAGGAAUCCAAAACCAUGGACGGGCGAGCAUACUCGAGCAGUCCAAUCAAUCAAAUCCCUGGCCAAAAGCAUCCCAUGCUUAUCUCUUGUAGAUGAACAAGCCAAACUCAUUAUUGAUACAGAUGGAUCAAAUAUUAGUUACGGAGGCAUCCUCAAAUAGGAACUUAACGGAAAAAUCUUCAUUGCCCGUUAUCAUUCAGGAAUCUGGAACAAUGCAACAAAGAACUAUUCAACAGUAAAAAUGGAAAUACUAGCAAUAGUACUUUCCGUCCAGAAAUUUCAAGGAGAUCUAAUUAACAAGGAAUUCCUUGUUCGAACAGAUUCAAAAGCAAGUAAAUACAUAUUUGAAAAGGAUGUAAAGAAUCUUAUCUCGAAGCAAAUCUUCGCAAGAUGGCACGCAAUCUUAUCUUGCUUUGAUUUCAUAAUUGAGCCUAUAAAAGGCAGUGAGAAUUCACUUGCUGACUACCUCUCAAGAGAGCAUCUCUUGAAGAACUCUUCCUCAGCCCUGAAUUCCUUCUCUCAUGGAACCACCUUCCGGCCGGCAACGGCCACCCAACCAGCGGCAACAGCCGCAAAACAAUCAAAAUAAUAGUCCAAGAAGACAACCACAAACAGUAGCUUCCUCUUCGAGAACUACUUCUCCUAAGGGAAAAUCCACAGCUCAAUCAUCCGCACCGUCGCCGAUGAGUGCAGAAAGCUACGCCAUUGACUUGCAAUUUGAGCAAGUAUCCAGGCGUCGUCAAGGCUCUGCUAACAGAGCAUUGAAAAUCCAAACAGACACUUCGAGUCUUCCCCCUCAUACCGUCAAGCAUGUUGUUGCGACCCUCUAGGUCGACAACUCUAAACAAGCGUGCCGCAUCACCGGCCGCAUCCUCCUCAAGGUCUGCAGUUCCUCGGAAUCCAUCAUCGUAUUCCCAGAUUGUACGGCCAAAGGUCUUCCAACCAAGACCUCCAAUUACUGGUUAUUUCAAAAAACAACAAUGGUAGACCUAACCAUAGAACCAGAAUUCGAUGGACCUUCAGUCCCCGAAGUUUGCAAACAAGUAUUUCCUCAUGGAUUCAACUUUCUUCCGGAGGACCUCUCAAAGACUAGGACAUUCUAUGAGUUCAUCUUAGUUGAUUCUAAGUCAGCUGAAAUCACACAUGUCCCUGAUAAAAAUGAUCCCUCAAAGAUCAUUUACUCAAAGCUAAGAAUUUUUCAAGUACUCACUCCAUCCUAUUGGAAACAGGGGAUGUUCGUGGGAAAGAGAUUUUCACAACCCUUCAAACCACCAUCAUACAAUUACCGUGACUAUACAAAGGCAUGGUACAUCAUAUUUUGGUUACAAGCCUACAACCAUUCAUGGUUUGUGACGUUUUGUAAGCAAGCUUACAAAAUGCACUUUCCCCAAUGGUUUCAAAACUGGUGGAUGUAUUUUGGACUCUUUGAGGAAAUUUUCCCAGUAGAAGUUCAACGUUCAUACCAUCUCUUCCAACAAAGUAUCUACUCGUCUCCUCUCUCAAAGACGUUUAGGUUUGCUUUGUAUUUUCAAAUACCCUGGAUCUUUUGCUGGAAUUUCCAACUUGGACCCUCUGGGAAUUUUAAAGCAUUGAGCAAAUCACGGAUCAAGUGGUGGGAAAAAUUCAGCUAUUCCCAUCUAGAAGUAAGCAAAAUAAAGGACUGGUUUAAAGCCAACGUCCAUCUGCAAGAUAUGACUAGGCAAGAGGAUGAAGCCUUCCUCCUCACCAAAAAUGCAGUCAUGACAACUCUUGCUGGCACAAGUACUCAACAGGAAUUCAAUUCCAUCGUCAACAACGUCGUCGUAGACCUCUCAGACGACCACUCAUUUACUUACCCUAAAGUUGGGAAGGAGUGAUUAUGUUUUCAGCUCUCCACUCGAUUUUGUCCCCAAAAUGUAAGCAUAUUGAGUUGACAAUCUUGCCACUCUCACUCGUACAAAUCAAAGGACAAUCCUUCGCGAACAUGAGUUCAUAAUACACUCAGGAUUAAGACUAAGUUACCUAAGUCAUCCUAAUGAAAUAGAAUUCCAACUAGUUAACGGAGUUACAUCUAAUGGUUACUAUUUCGUGGUCCAGUCUUAUACUAACUCAUUGUAUAGUACCCCUUACUCGCAUGUCAACUGCACGAACACGUUAGAUCAUUGCGUUUGUAUCAAGUACAAAGUGAACCGUAUCUAUAGUGUUACCAGGAUAAGGUAUCCGAACUUAUCCCUAUACUACAAGCUCUUUAAGCUGAUCUCGGCAUUGAUUCAUGUAUAUUGGAUUUAGGUUAUUAAGAAAAAACUAAUAAUCAAUAACACUUAUUGAAAUUAUAAUAACAACACUUUAUUAAUAACGAUCAAUGAAUUAUAUUUACAAUCUACGAGUUUUAGGACAUAAAUCCCAACGAGAAGUAUUUAUAAUACUUUUUCGCUGUACAUUUUUGGAAAAUAGAAAACACAACAAAUAAUAACUAAUUCUAAAACAGAGUUUAUACAUGAUAAUAUCCUCCCUCAAAUUGAUGCACUUUAGACUUAAGGCAUAAAUUUGGAUCAAAGAGUGUUAAAGCGAUCGGUGGUGAGAGGUUUUGUGAAUAUAUAAGCAGGUUGUUUUGUUGAGGGAAUGUACAAUAGUGUAAUGUAAUUUUGGACAACUUUUUCCCUUAUAAAGUGAAAGUCUACUUCCAUGUGUUUGGCUCGACCAUGAAAGACAGGGUUAUGAGCAAGUUGGAUGGCAAACUCUUUGUUACACCAUAAAAAAGGAGGUUCUUUUCUAAAUAUAUGUAAGUCUCGAAGGAGUUGUCAAAUCUAAAAAAACUUAAGAAGUUGUUGUUGCAAGGGCUCUAUACUAAGCUUCUAUUUAACUUUGAGAUACAGUGGACUACUUUUUGGUAGCCAUGAUAUUGGAUUAUCUCCUAGGUAGAUGAUGAAUCUCAUGGUUGAUCUUUUAUUAAAAUUAUUUCUUGUCCAAUCUGAAUUUGAGAAUGCAUUUACUUUGAAUGAAUUUGUGGAUUUCUUGAAGAGUAUGCCUUGUGAAGUGGUUCCACUAAUGUAUCUUAGUACUCUUUUGGCUGUUGUAAGAUGGCAAUAGGUAGGUGAGUGCAUGAACUGUGACAGUUUGCUUACUGAGAAGGUGAGAUAUUGGAGGGCUCCAAAGAUGGUUCUGUAAGUUGUUGCAUUUUCAUUUGAACAUGGAUUGUCUGGUUUGUCAUUAAAGAAAUGUAUAGGAAUUGGAGUAUUACAUGGUUUGCAUCCAUUCAUUCCGACCCUUUUUUAUACAUCCUUAGCAUAUUUUCUUUGUGUGAUAAAGAUAUCAAAUGAGUUCCUCAGGAUUUUGAGCACUAGAAAAUAUUUCAACAUUCCUAAGUUAGUCAUAUCAAACUGCUGCUGCAGCUGAUUUAUUAACACAUCAAUGUAUGGCUAAUCGUUGCCUAUUAUUAUGAUGUCAUCUACAUAAAGUUGGAGAUAAGUAGUAGAUUUUCUAAAUUUUUGAACAAACAAUGAAUUAUCAACUUUUGAAGCAUUAAACCCAAGUGUUAAUAGGUGGGUUGUGAAGCAUUUAAACCAAGCUCGAUGAACUUCUUUGAGGCCAUAUAACGAUUUUUGGAGCUUGCACACUAGGUUUGGUCUUGUUCUGUCAACAAAACCUUGUGGUUGUUGCAUAUAGACUUCUUCAUAGAGUUUUCCAUGUACAAAGGCAUUUUUAACAUCAAGUUGCCUUAGUUUCCAUUCAAAUUGUGCAGCUAAAGAUAGAACUAUCUGGACAGUAGGCUUUUUUACAACUGGGCGAAAUGUCUCUUCAAAAUCUAUUCCCUCUUGUUGGUGGUAUCCCUUGGAAACUAACCUUUCUUUAUGUCUAGCAAUGGAUCCAUCAAAGUUUCUUUUUGUUUAGUCUAGUGAGUUUCCAUGUUCCUUGUUUCAGUAGAGCAUCAUAUUCUUCUUUCAAUUUCAUCAACAUAAUUUUUGGAAAGAUGUGUUGAUGCAACAAAAAAUUUCUUCUUUGAUAUACUAGAUUUGCUUCUGGUUUGCAUUGGAUGGACAUUUAGAUUUGUUCCCAAUGAUACAUUUAUGCCCAUUUCAGUUUCAGUAUCCAGUUCAUUGUUUAGAUAGGACUCAUAUGUUUGUGAAGAAAUAUGAUUGUUGGCAUAGAUGACACAUCACUUUCAUUACUCACACUAGGAAUAGGUGCGAGGUCUUUUAGAAACAAAGAUAAAGGUAUUUGAUGGAAUUUUGUAUGGUUACCUUUUGUGGUGUUGUUUUAUAGGGUUAUUGAGAAGGGAAAGAAAAAACUCAUCAAAGAUAACAUGUCUAGAUAUGAAAAAUUUUCCAAUGGUCAUGUUGUAACACAAGUAACCUUUGUAAUCUAGAGGAUAACCAAGAAAGAUGCAUUGAGAGUUUUUUGGUUGGAGUUUAUGAGAAUUGUAUUGCUUUAGUAAACGGUAGCAGACAUAACAAAUUUUUUUUAGAGGUUUAUAGUCAAAGGGUUGAUUGAAUAGGCAUUCAAAGGGAGUCUUAUUUUGAAGGUUUUGAGAUGGGAGUCUAUUUAUGAGGUAUACAACUAUGGCAAAGGCAAAGGACAAGAAUUUUGUUGGGAAGGAGGCAUAGGUAUUAGGGAGAUGACUACUUCUAUUAUAUGGCGGUGUUUUCUUUUUAUUGCAUCAUUUUGUUGAGGAGUACAGGAACAUGAUUUUUGGUGGGAUAUGCCAUUUGUGGUGAGGAAGGAUGAUAGAUUUUUGUUGAUGAAUUCACCUCCUCCAUUGGAGGGCUCCAAAGAUGGUUCUGUAAGUUGUUGCAUUUUCAUUUGAACAUGGAUUGUCUGGUUUGUCAUUAAAGAAAUGUAUAGGAAUUGGAGUAUUACAUGGUUUGCAUCCAUUCAUUCCGACCCUUUUUUAUACAUCCUUAGCAUAUUUUCUUUGUGUGAUAAAGAUAUCAAAUGAGUUCCUCAGGAUUUUGAGCACUAGAAAAUAUUUCAACAUUCCUAAGUUAGUCAUAUCAAACUGCUGCUGCAGCUGAUUUAUUAACACAUCAAUGUAUGGCUAAUCGUUGCCUAUUAUUAUGAUGUCAUCUACAUAAAGUUGGAGAUAAGUGGUAGAUUUUCUAAAUUUUUGAACAAACAAUGAAUUAUCAACUUUUGAAGCAUUAAAACCAAGUGUUAAUAGGUGGGUUGUGAAGCAUUCAAACCAAGCUCGAUGAACUUCUUUGAGGCCAUAUAACGAUUUUUGGAGCUUGCACACUAGGUUUGGUCUUGUUCUGUCAACAAAACCUUGUGGUUGUUGCAUAUAGACUUCUUCAUAGAGUUUUCCAUGUAUAAAGGCAUUUUUAACAUCAAGUUGCCUUAGUUUCCAUUCAAAUUGUGCAGCUAAAGAUAGAACUAUCUGGGAAUUUUAAAGCAUUGAGCAAAUCACUCAGGAUUAAGUGGUGGGAAAAAUUCAGCUAUUCCCAUCUAGAAGUAAGCAAAAUAAAGGACUGGUUUAAAGCCAACGUCCAUCUGCAAGAUAUGACUAGGCAAGAGGAUGAAGCCUUCCUCCUCACCAAAAAUGUUGUCAUGACAACUCUUGGUGGCAUAAGUACUCAACAGGAAUUCAAUUCCAUCGUCAACAACAUCGUCGUAGACCUCUCAGACGACCACGACGAUUUACUAGAGGACGCUUCUCUAGCCUCUGUUAAUAAUGUCGACAACCUCGAUUAUGACCCAUACGAAGGCCUCGACAUCAACGACCCAUUUUUGAACACACAACCAUACUAAAGUCCAAGAUUGAGGUCCUUCUUUCAAGAGUUUUUAAAUUUAGUCAAAAGUAUUAAUUGUAAUUAAUUGUAAAUUAAUUUGUUUAAAAAAAAUUCUAAAUUUAUUUAGAAAAGAUCAUUGUAUUCCGAUCUUAUCAUUGCUUUUACAGUCUGCUAUUGUAACUGUCCUCAAGAAAGAGUUUGAAAGAGAAGAAGAUAAUGGAGAUGAUUCACUUCUGCAAGAGGAUUAGCCAACCUCAGGCAACAUAGAAAGCGGACGACGCCAACGUAGCACACGUUAUGGAUUAACUUUGAUUGGGAUUAUUUCCAGAAGGAUACAUAAGAUAGAUAUCUGAGAAUGGGGAGGGGACCUGCUCCUAGUGGCAGCGAGGCGGGAGGCCGAAGUAAGAUCGCAGUAGGGAGCUAAAUAAUCCUUAAUGAAAGAUAUCAAUCUUAUGGAUCUUAAUCCGCGUCGAGCCAAGCAGAAGACGAUCGGGUGACGUCAUCAACUUCCCCAACAAGUUUCUACUUGAAGAUAAGGAUGAAUGACAGACAUAUCCCAUCUAUCUUACCGCUUCAUUUCGUUGUGUAUUUACCUUCUUUUUAAAGCAUAUCUUUACUUUUCAAGAGAUAAGAUUUUCAGAAAAGCCAAACAGGGGUCUUGUCCUGUCGGCCACUCUGAAAUCAUAUGUAUUCAAUUAUUGUUGAAGAUCACUGUGUACACAAUAGUGAAAGAGUGAAUCUCUCACUAUAAUAAAGAGCAGCGACCUUCGACCCUCAAUGGCAAUAAAAAAUGUUAUAAAAGAGGUUCUAUAGCUAUUUUAGAUACGUUAUUAAAAGUCUCUUAUUUUUGUUAGCAUUAUUCAUCGGGAUAGAUUUUAGUGUUUUAACUUUUUUAUUUUACAAUUUGUCUUGCAAACAAUAUUUUAAAAUCAAAUUAUAACCAUAUACAUAUGUAUACAAGUCAUUUUCCUAGGCAAAGAGAUGGAAUUCACAUUUCAAUAAAAUCUACAAUAAUAAUUAUAAUGAACAUGUUUAUUUCUAACAUACAAAAAAAAUUAGCAUUAUAUUCAUUCAAAAUGUUUGAUAUAAUCAUCAAAAUUAAGUAUGUUCCAACAAAACUUUCGUAUAAUUCUUUUCCUUCAUCAUGAUGGAUUUAAUCGAAGCUCUAUUCUCUAGCAUUGGAUUUUUCUUUAGAGAGAUUUCAACUAUAUCCAUGAGUUCAAGAUUCUAUUAGUGUUCACCAUCAAGCCCUUCAAUGACAAAUCAUAUAAAUGAUAAACAAAAACAAAAUCAUUGCGUCAAGUCAGGAUUCAGAACAAGCAAUAGACAAUCUGAUCCAUGAAUGACUAGACUAGUAUCCUAAACAACAAAAAACACCAUCGUAUUUCACCUAAAAGAAACAAUACAAAACAAGCACCUUUAGGAAAACUCACAAGCAUUAUAUAUUCUCACGAAAAAGACGUGUUUAUGCAAAAAUCAGAAUAACUACAAUACCCAAGCUGAAUGGCGUUGGAGUUGGAUGACCUAAAUUGGUUUUUGUCAAUUAGUGAGAAAAAAUAUGUUCAAAUAAUCCCCAUUACACAUACACCAUUCUUGCUUUCUUUCCUAGCAAUGGUCUCAAGAACCAACUCGGCUUGAAUCCCUUUUUCACAUUGAAGCAAAAUUAUAAUAAAUCCUGUUGAUUUUAUGGAAUCAAUCUAUAUUUCAUUAAUUACUUAAUAGAGAUACAAGCCUAUAUAUAACCAUAGAGAAAUACACUUAAGGAAAUAAUAUCAAAUAAUAUCUCCAGAAUAAUAUCUCCAGAAUAAUAUCUCCUAAGAAUAAUAUCUCCUAAGAAUAAUAUCUCCUAAGAAUAAUCUAAUUAUAUUAAUACCCUCCCUCAAACUCAAGGUUGAAAUCACAAACUUGAGUUUGCUAAGAACUAAGAAAAGAAACAAUAUAUCUAGAAUAGAAUAAAAAACCCGAAGAACAAACACACAAAGAACUUCUAGGCUAAAACAAACCCACGAAGAGCGAAACGAAGAACUUCUGGGAUAGAAACAUAGAUCCUCGUAUAGAGAUCUAUAACAGAACCUAGGAAGAACGAAACAAGAACUCCGGGGGCAAAAUGAAAGAGCAAAACUGAAGCAAAGUAGAACAAAUCAGGAUGAAAACGUGGUCUGAAUUGGGCAGGAGCGUUUCGUCAUCAGAAUGGAACUGAACGAACUAAACUAAAGCAAGUCAGAAUCAAACUGAACAGGAAAUCUGGGUGAACAGAACGAAAACUGAAGAGAGCUGAGAGGUUGAGUAGAUAGAGAGCUUUGUGGCGUUCUUCGCAAAAAGAGAAGAUGCGUUUCAUGACGGCGAGCUUCACAAAUGGAGAGCGGACAAAGCCGAACCUGUGCGUCGUCGGCUGUGAGUGGAGCGGAGCGGUGGAUCAUGGAUCUGAACAAAGAUUCACCCUCUUCAGGAUCGGGAGUCUUCAAUCUAAAGAGAUUGUCUGGUACGAGUAAAGGGCGGCGGCGGCAGGUCGGUCUGAUCUUGAACAGUAUGAUUCGAAGGCGAAAGAUGAAAUAAAACACGGAUCUGGAAGUCGAAGACACGAACAGAGAUGCACGAACAAAUCGGUGCUUGCAAUGUGCGCACAAGUAGAUCUAAGUGAGGACGAAUGGAGAGCGGAUAUGGGUCGAGAGUGCGACGAACUGUGUGGAUGGAAGGAGCAGUGAUGGCGGAAGGAGCAGUGAUGGCAGAAGGAGUAGUGGCGGCGGCGGCAGAAUCAGAGACGAGGAUUUUGAUCUAGGAGGCAGAGCGAAUUACUUGGAGACAUGAUGUGUAUUGAUUACUGAUGGGUAUGGCUCUGCCUCCGUCGACGAAUCAACGGAGGCAGACGUGCAGGGAUGUGACGGCUAGAAUACAAGGAGACUUAAAAUCCUAUAGCUCUGAUACCAUGUUGAUUUUAUGGAAUCAAUCUAUAUUUCAUUAAUUACUUAAUAGAGAUACAAGCCUAUAUAUAACCAUAGAGAAAUACACUUAAGGAAAUAAUAUCAAAUAAUAUCUCCAGAAUAAUAUCUCCAGAAUAAUAUCUCCUAAGAAUAAUAUCUCUUAAGAAUAAUCUAAUUAUAUUAAUACAAGUCCAAUAUAAUCAGAAUUACAAAGAAGAGGUUAGAUUGUCCAAGAUCCAAAACAUUAUAAAAAACUCUUGUCAGAAUUAGUUGGUGCAA